UUCAUGAGGAUCUGGAGGUCCUCUUACCAUAGAGAUGCAUAGGGAUUAACCAGCCCACAGUGACAGGAAGUAGAAACUAUAGAGACAGGAAGGAGGAACCAUAGAGACAGGAAGUGAGAUUAGAAGGAUAUAAAAAGGACUCAAUGUCAGUUGGUCAGCUUGUCAGUUGCUGACAGAUAGCCUUACAGUAAAGAUAGUAAGUCACUGCCCACCAUGAAGUCCAGUGGCGGUGUGUGCCUGCUCUCCUGAUGCCUGCCACUGCCUGCUGUUUCUCCUGUCCAUCUGCUUGGCCAGUAUUCCUCACCACUCUCCACCCAGUUUGGAGCCUCCUCUUGCAGAGACCAGACUUACCACAAGAGCCUGCCAAUCCCAGCCAUUUUUUUCCACAGAGGAAGGUAUUAAUGAGCAUGUCCUGUUCUGGAGGAGAAGAAAUAUCAAAGGUUCUAGAGAAAGAUUCACCUCCCAGGAAGGUCAUCAAGCUGAUCAGGAUGAUCUUUGGCCUAGGAAGAACACAACAAAAAUGGUGAGCAGAAAUUGGAAACACAAGAUAAGUGAGGAGAUCAUAACAUAUGACUGCCUUUAAUGAUUGCAAGUUACCAGGCUUGGGCAUCUUGGACAUAUGGUGCUGAAAGACUGAGGUCCUAGGUGCUCCUACUGCUGAACUUCUCCAAGUUCUCUUGGAAAGAUUUUUUUAAAAAAUGAAAGAUAUCUUCAGACUAAAGAAAUCCCUCAAAGUUAUUUUGUGUUCACUGUACAUACAUUUUUUAAUUGAAAUUUUAUUUAAUUAAUUGAUUUAGAAUAUUUUUCCAUGGUUACAUGAUUGAUGUUCUUUCCCUCCCUUCUGCCCACCCCCCUCCAGUAGCCAACGAGCAAUUCCACUGGGUUUUACAUUUACAUACAUUUUUAAUCUCUUCUAUAUGUAUUUAUAUUCCCCUUAGAAACAAUACUUUGUAAGGUCUUUGAAGAUAUUUAAUUUCAUUUUUGCCUUUUUAGGCAUAGUGCCUGGCACAUAAUAAAUGCUUUUUAAUUAAUUUUAAAAAGGAGAAG
Molecule: long non-coding RNA, 1047 nt
Filed under: Monodelphis domestica (gray short-tailed opossum)
Lineage: Eukaryota; Metazoa; Chordata; Mammalia; Didelphimorphia; Didelphidae
Description: lncRNA (ENSMODG00000033634.2)
Source: RNAcentral